GACGAACGCUGGCGGCGUGCCUAAUACAUGCAAGUAGAACGCUGAAGGAGGAGCUUGCUUCUCUGGAUGAGUUGCGAACGGGUGAGUAACGCGUAGGUAACCUGCCUGGUAGCGGGGGAUAACUAUUGGAAACGAUAGCUAAUACCGCAUAAUAGCAGUUAUUGCAUGAUAACUGUUUGAAAGGUGCAAUUGCAUCACUACCAGAUGGACCUGCGUUGUAUUAGCUAGUUGGUGAGGUAACGGCUCACCAAGGCGACGAUACAUAGCCGACCUGAGAGGGUGAUCGGCCACACUGGGACUGAGACACGGCCCAGACUCCUACGGGAGGCAGCAGUAGGGAAUCUUCGGCAAUGGACGGAAGUCUGACCGAGCAACGCCGCGUGAGUGAAGAAGGUUUUCGGAUCGUAAAGCUCUGUUGUAAGAGAAGAACGAGUGUGAGAGUGGAAAGUUCACACUGUGACG
This 462-nucleotide ribosomal RNA is filed under the name Streptococcus mitis. Its description in RNAcentral is "bacterial SSU rRNA". It matches the Rfam family "Bacterial small subunit ribosomal RNA", at positions 28 to 474 of the family's 1533-position model. Lineage: Bacteria; Bacillati; Bacillota; Bacilli; Lactobacillales; Streptococcaceae. The record is from RNAcentral.